Long non-coding RNA from Hippocampus zosterae (dwarf seahorse), 993 nucleotides. RefSeq lists it as uncharacterized. NCBI's taxonomy places the organism in Eukaryota, Metazoa, Chordata, Actinopteri, Syngnathiformes, Syngnathidae. The transcript has 2 exons. The record is from RefSeq and is a predicted model, not a curated record.
UUCACUUUGCAGGAACUUUUAUAAUUCUGACCUGUUUGUUCCCCAGGACCACCACGGGCAGCUGGGGUUGCACCCGCAGGAGGCGGUGCAGCUCCAACUUUGCCAGCGGGAGGCGACCGCGAUCAGACGAGUCCACCACAUAGACCAGCACGAAGUCCAGCUGACAAGCGGGCGCGCUGAGGCUGACGAAGUUGAAGCCUCGGGUGGGCCGGCAGUGGCCCCUCUUGCCCCCACUGGGCGUCAGACCCUGGAGCACGCUGCUCUUGCCGGCUCCGUCCAAGCCGAGCACCAGCACCUGCCGCUUCCUGGGGUCCUCUUUCUCCUGCCGACGGGUAGAUGAAAACGUCAGGCAUCUCGUUGACGUUAUGUGUUGCCUAUGCGCUUGCGAUGAUGAGUAAACGGCCAAACGACAAAUGCAAACAAGCAGUCUCGCGGCACACCGCGGGAUCAACUUCGAACUGUAACAAGACGCGGUUCAGGAUUUUUUUUUUUUGUCUGUCUCGGCUAUGCGGCAUUAUCAGCACGGACUUUGUGCAGAAUGGUUCUUGCGUCACACGUUCGGCUAUUUCCUCAUCAACAAAUGGAGCAAAUGAAACUAUACAAAUAUGCAAUCAUACAUUAGGCCAAACCCUACCAAUUGAAUAAAGUUUAAAUUUUAUUUCACACGCUAUUUUUUUUUUUUUAGAUUUUAUUUACCUGUAAUGAUUUUUGAUGUACAGCAUAGGUCACUAUUGACUGAUCAACACAGUGCCACAGUGUAUUCAAAUUGUGUGUGAGAUGUUUAUUAAUUCCCAUCACUUGGUGAGGUGGUUUCCCUGUCAGAUAUAAAAAGACAUUAUGAAUAAACAACAGUACAGCACUGACUUUAGCGUCCAAUCAGAUUGCCGGGACACCAGACCGCAUGGAAAAUGACACUUUUACCACAUUGCUCGAAAAAAAAAACAAGUUUGAAACAAUCUUGAUGUUGAGGAGUAAACUGGAAGCUUUUUACGC